This 350-nucleotide ribosomal RNA is filed under the name uncultured bacterium. Its description in RNAcentral is "bacterial SSU rRNA". It matches the Rfam family "Bacterial small subunit ribosomal RNA", at positions 158 to 507 of the family's 1533-position model. The record is from RNAcentral.
UCGCGCUAAUACCUCAUAAUGCAGCGGAUCCGCAUGGUAAAUGUUGUUAAGGUUUACCGCCUUGGGAUAGGCUUGCGUCUGAUUAGCUAGUUGGUGUGGUAACGGCACACCAAGGCUACGAUCAGUAACUGGUCUGAGAGGAUGAUCAGUCACACUGGAACUGAGACACGGUCCAGACUCCUACGGGAGGCAGCAGUGAGGAAUAUUGGGCAAUGCUCGAAAGAGUGACCCAGCAACGCCGCGUGGAGGAUGAAGGUAUUCUAUAUCGUAAACUCCUGUGAGAGCAGACGAAAGACAGAUUAUUAAUCUGGAUGACUGUAUGCUCAGAGGAAGCCCCGGCUAACUACGUG